Molecule: unclassified non-coding RNA, 731 nt
Filed under: Leishmania donovani
Lineage: Eukaryota; Euglenozoa; Kinetoplastea; Trypanosomatida; Trypanosomatidae
Description: gene:unknown
Source: RNAcentral
GGCGAAUGCCUCUGUUUUUUCCUGUCCCUUGCUCCGCUGCGCGAAUGACAGCUGUAGACAGCGAGCACUGUGCGCACGUGCGGUCAAGCACAACUGACAUGGUGUAUCAUACGGAAAGAAGGAAUGCAGAGGUGAGAAGAGCAGGAGGGAUGGACGGAGAAGGGCGCGAAGGAUUCCCACACCAAUCAACCCCAACGUGCAUGCGUGCAAACCAUGCGGCAUCUCCUACGUCUGACCAGGUAGACUGAUGAAGCACAGAUGCCGAAAGCAUGAAGAGUUCCCUCGAGUUGCACCAUCGGGUCCUCCAAACUCCCAUGUGGAGAACCUGCACACCGUAUUACGGCAUGCCGCAGCUUGAAGCAACUGAGAGGGAGAAGCAUGGCAUGCAGGCAGGAUGUGCAAUGUCUCCAGAGGGCCCUGGCCUGAGGCUUUCCAGCAUCCUCCCUGAGCUCAUGCGGCAUCCACCCGGACCGCCUCCUAUUAUCCCGCAUGACGGACGUCACCGCUUCCGCCCUCGAGCAGGACCCUAGACACUGCCCGCCUGGUUCGAUGCGUGCGGCCCACCCGGGCCUCCGUCUGUCCCCGAUCGCGCCCCACGGCCCCGAUGCAAUGGCAGGACGGUUCGUCCUAGACGACGCGGAUGUAGCCACGGCGCUGCGGCUUCAGAUGAGCUGUGGUUGUGUACGCGUAUACAUUUAUGGAGUUGUUCGUGAUGGAAUGACACCUUGAAG